GAUGAAGAACGCAUCGAAAUGCGAUACUUGGUGUGAAUUGCAGAAUCCCGUGAACCAUCGAGUCUUUGAACGCAAGUUGCGCCCGAAGCCAUUAGGCCGAGGGCACGCCUGCCUGGGCGUCACACGUCGUUGCCCCCCCAUCUACUCCUUCGGGAUUGCGGGGGGCGGAUGAUGGCCUCCCGUGCGCCUCGUCGCGCGGUUGGCCUAAAUGCCAAGUCCUCGGCGACGCACGCCACGACAAUCGGUGGUUGCGAAACCUCGGUUGCCCGUCGUGUGCGGUCGUCGCGCAUCGAGGGCUCGAAAAAAUUGCCGGGCUUCGGCUCGACUUUCAACGCGACCCCAGGUCAGGCGGGGUUACCCGCUGAAUUUAAGCAUAUCAAUAAGCGGAGGA
Molecule: unclassified non-coding RNA, 391 nt
Filed under: soil metagenome
Description: partial contains 5.8S ribosomal RNA, internal transcribed spacer 2, and large subunit ribosomal RNA
Rfam family: 5.8S ribosomal RNA (bases 1-122)
Source: RNAcentral